AGCUCAAUCAGUAGAGCAUGAGACUCUUAAUCUCAGAGUCAUGGGUUCAUGCCUCAU
This 57-nucleotide transfer RNA is filed under the name Cricetulus griseus (Chinese hamster). It matches the Rfam family "tRNA", at positions 9 to 63 of the family's 71-position model. Rfam says of the family: Transfer RNA (tRNA) molecules are approximately 80 nucleotides in length. Their secondary structure includes four short double-helical elements and three loops (D, anti-codon, and T loops). Lineage: Eukaryota; Metazoa; Chordata; Mammalia; Rodentia; Cricetidae. The record is from Rfam by way of RNAcentral.